GCGGCGUCGGCGGCCGAACCCACUGGGAACUAUAUUUAUAUAGUUUUCACUCUAUGUGGUUUUGGACUACAGGUACACACAGGGGCGAGCCGAGCGAGGAUCGCGGCAAGGGCAUAGCGCCCUAAGUGAGUUAGUUAGUAGCAUUCCGUUGUGCAUUAGAGUACCCUCGUGUACUAGAUACCAUGUAUAUUUUGGAUAGAAAUUGGAGAGCCAUGAUGUAUUUUGGAAAAUAUGUAUUUACAUUUUGGAAGAUGAAAAUGUAAUGUAAUCAAAUGAUGUAACUAUUGAAUGGUUGUAAUAGUUAGACUAUCUCUCUUUAUACACUGGUAUUGUAACAUACCAGAUUUUGGUAUAAAAAUAAAAAUAAAUAAAAAUAGUGUGAGAAACUAUUUUUAUUGGAUUUAUAGAAGUAAAACAUAAGUCAGAAGUGACUUGUGCUGAAAUCGGAAUGAAAACAGAAUAUUUAGAAUUUUCUGUUGGAAACGGGACAGAUAAAUUAGCAGAAAAUGUACAAUCUCAGAAAAUUAUGAAAAUUGGAGGAUAUGUCGGAAAUAUUUUUAUGAUGCUAGAUUUAAAGUUUCAUAUUAUUCUGAUCGGAAAUAUUUUUAUGAUGCUAGAUUUAAAGUUUCAUAUUAUUCUGACACCCGUAGAGUGAGAAAUAAAAUCCAACAGCUAUCUGAUAAAGAUUACAGUUCGGUACAGUUUUCAGUGACCAAACGAGGUCGAAACUGG
RNAcentral lists this long non-coding RNA (732 nucleotides) under Ananas comosus (pineapple). RNAcentral describes it as "long non-coding RNA (ACOM_LNC020580)". Lineage: Eukaryota; Viridiplantae; Streptophyta; Magnoliopsida; Poales; Bromeliaceae. The record is from RNAcentral.